GAUGAAUGCUGGCGGCGUGCCUAACACAUGCAAGUCGAGCGGCAGCGCGUUUUCCACUGAAUUCUGGAAGCUUCUGAGUAGUACAGAAGAUUUAUUCAAGAGUUUUGUGUAAAAUGUCGGCGAGCGGCGGACGGCUGAGUAACGCGUAGGAAUUUGCCCCAAAGUGAGGAAUAACUGCCCGAAAGGGUAGCUAAUGCCGCAUAUGGUCUUCGGAUUAAAGCCUUCGGGCGCUUUGGGAGAAGCCUGCGUUGGAUUAGGUAGUUGGUAGGGUAAUGGCCUACCAAGCCGACGAUCCAUAGCUGGUCUGAGAGGAUGAUCAGCCAGACUGGAACUGAGACACGGUCCAGACUCCUACGGGAGGCAGCAGUGAGGAAUCUUCCACAAUGGGCGAAAGCCUGAUGGAGCAACGCCGCGUGAAGGAUGAAGGCCUUCGGGUUGUAAACUUCUUUUAUGAGUGAAGAAUAUGACGGUAACUCAUGAAUAAGCACCGGCUAACUACGUG
Molecule: ribosomal RNA, 502 nt
Filed under: uncultured bacterium
Lineage: Bacteria
Description: partial 16S ribosomal RNA
Rfam family: Bacterial small subunit ribosomal RNA
Source: RNAcentral